RNAcentral lists this ribosomal RNA (253 nucleotides) under uncultured bacterium. RNAcentral describes it as "partial 16S ribosomal RNA". It matches the Rfam family "Bacterial small subunit ribosomal RNA", at positions 524 to 776 of the family's 1533-position model. The record is from RNAcentral.
UACGGAGGGAGCUAGCGUUGUUCGGAAUUACUGGGCGUAAAGCGCACGUAGGCGGCUUUGUAAGUUAGAGGUGAAAGCCUGGGGCUCAACUCCAGAACUGCCUUUAAGACUGCAUCGCUAGAAUUGUGGAGAGGUAAGUGGAAUUCCGAGUGUAGAGGUGAAAUUCGUAGAUAUUCGGAAGAACACCGGUGGCGAAGGCGACUUACUGGACACAUAUUGACGCUGAGGUGCGAAAGCGUGGGGAGCAAACAGG